UACGUAGGGACCAAGCGUUGUCCGGAAUCAUUGGGCGUAAAGAGCGUGUAGGCGGCUUGUUAAGUCUUGCGUGAAAUCUCGGGGCUCAACCCCGAGCGGUCGUGAGAAACUGGCAGGCUAGAGUGCGGGAGAGGAGAGUGGAAUUCCUGGUGUAGCGGUGAAAUGCGCAGAUAUCAGGAAGAACACCCGUGGCGAAGGCGGCUCUCUGGAACGCAACUGACGCUGAGACGCGAAAGCGUGGGGAGCAAAGAGG
This 253-nucleotide ribosomal RNA is filed under the name uncultured bacterium. RNAcentral's name for it is "partial 16S ribosomal RNA". It matches the Rfam family "Bacterial small subunit ribosomal RNA", at positions 524 to 776 of the family's 1533-position model. The record is from RNAcentral.